RNAcentral lists this ribosomal RNA (623 nucleotides) under Amanita pantherina. RNAcentral's name for it is "eukaryotic LSU rRNA". The stretch from base 194 to 347 matches the Rfam family "5.8S ribosomal RNA". Lineage: Eukaryota; Fungi; Basidiomycota; Agaricomycetes; Agaricales; Amanitaceae. The record is from RNAcentral.
GCAGGGGGGAGUAUGGUUGUAGCUGGCCCCCUAAUAAGGGCAUGUGCACACUGUCUCUUUCUCUUGUUUGUUUUUUCAUUCUUUCCACUUGUGCACUGCUUGUAGGCAGCCUGGCAUUGUUCGGGUUGUCUAUGAUUUUAUUUUACAUACAUGAAUCAUUGUUGUACAGAAUGUGAUAAAAAAAUAAUAAUACAACUUUCAACAACGGAUCUCUUGGCUCUCGCAUCGAUGAAGAACGCAGCGAAAUGCGAUAAGUAAUGUGAAUUGCAGAAUUCAGUGAAUCAUCGAAUCUUUGAACGCAUCUUGCGCUCCUUGGUAUUCCGAGGAGCAUGCCUGUUUGAGUGUCAUUAAAUUCUGUCAAAACAUGCACUUGAGUGUGUUUUGGAUUGUGGGAGUGUCUGCUGGCUUUAUAUGAGUCAGCUCUCCUGAAAGACAUUAGCUUUGGAGGGAUGUGCCAAGUCACUUCUGCCUUUCCAUUGGUGUGAUAGAUGAAUAAACUUAUCUACGCCAGGAAAGCAGGUUGCAGGUGAUGCACUGUGAUCUCUCUGCUCUCUAAUUGACAUUUGUCUGAUAACUUGACCUCAAAUCAGGUAGGACUACCCGCUGAACUUAAGCAUAUCAUA